ACCAAGGGCGAUAGAACGUUGAAUACACCAGUUCCCCACGGAUCACUGAAGUUAAGCAACGUUGCGCGUGGUUAGUACCUGGAUGGGUGACCAUCUGGCCCAGUCAGCACACACGAUUGGAU
Molecule: ribosomal RNA, 122 nt
Filed under: Diaphorina citri (Asian citrus psyllid)
Lineage: Eukaryota; Metazoa; Arthropoda; Insecta; Hemiptera; Psyllidae
Source: RNAcentral